Molecule: non-coding RNA, 151 nt
Organism: Danio rerio (zebrafish)
Lineage: Eukaryota; Metazoa; Chordata; Actinopteri; Cypriniformes; Danionidae
Source: RefSeq, a predicted model, not a curated record
CCCCUCUCUCUGCAGACACCAGGACUUCAGGCGAUAUGGGCUGAGAUUUUAGCGCUGAAUACUGACGAGUUUAAAAAUCUUGCUGAAAAUCGUAGCUCACAAGAGUGUAUUAACGAGUCGUCUGCACCUCGGACAGUUCAUGAAGACGCAC